Molecule: long non-coding RNA, 206 nt
Organism: Sinocyclocheilus rhinocerous
Lineage: Eukaryota; Metazoa; Chordata; Actinopteri; Cypriniformes; Cyprinidae
Exons: 3
Source: RefSeq, a predicted model, not a curated record
CGGAGGACGCUGAAGAGCCGCGAGCGCGUGGAGCGUCUGUCAGACGCGUCGCGCGGAGCUCCAGACGCACAGCAUGGCCGGAGGAAAUACUGGAGGACUUUGGGAUUCGUUGAAGAAAGCAGCUUUUGUCAUUGGAUCUGGGCUUUUCUUCCUGGUGGGGUUUAGGAACUCGGUGACGUGGCAUCUGCAGAGGUUUUGGGGAGCGU